GAUGAACGCUGGCGGCGUGCCUAAUACAUGCAAGUCGAGCGAACAGACGAGGAGCUUGCUCCUCUGACGUUAGCGGCGGGCGGGUGAGUAACACGUGUAUAACCUACCUAUAAGACUGGGAUAACUUCGGGAAACCGGAGCUAAUACCGGAUAAUAUAUUGAACCGCAUGGUUCAAUAGUGAAAGACGGUUUUGCUGUCACUUAUAGAUGGAUCCGCGCCGCAUUAGCUAGUUGGUAAGGUAACGGCUUACCAAGGCAACGAUGCGUAGCCGACCUGAGAGGGUGAUCGGCCACACUGGAACUGAGACACGGUCCAGACUCCUACGGGAGGCAGCAGUAGGGAAUCUUCCGCAAUGGGCGAAAGCCUGACGGAGCCACGCCGCGUGAGUGAUGAAGGUCUUCGGAUCGUAAAGCUCUGUUAGUAGGGAAGAACAAAUGUGUAAGUAACUAUGCACGUCUUGACGGUACCUAAUCAGAAAGCCCCGGCUAACUACGUG
Molecule: ribosomal RNA, 497 nt
Filed under: uncultured bacterium
Lineage: Bacteria
Description: partial 16S ribosomal RNA
Rfam family: Bacterial small subunit ribosomal RNA
Source: RNAcentral